CCCAAACCUAAUCUCCUUCACUCAUUCACUCGAGCACUCGCCUCCUUCUUCUUCCUCUUCGAUAGUCCUCCCUCCUCCGGCCUAAUCCGAUUUAAACCACCAGACGGCCAGACCUCUCCGAGAAUCCAGCAGAUUCGAAGAAAAAUGUGUUUGGUGGUCGAUCCGAAGCUCAACUGCUGAGAAACGAAGGGUUCACUCACUUUAGCCUUCGUUUCUAAACCGAUCUGCCGCUUUCACUCUCUUCCAACGCCGUGACUCGAAGAAGUGGGAGUUCAUCUUCCGAUCUUCGUCUGAGUUCGCACCGUCUUCGAGUCUUCGUCUUCGUCUUCAUCUUCGUCUUUGUCUUCACCGGAGAAAGUUCACAUCGCACCAAAGGUCGCCUCCGUCUCUUAGUUUCUCCCUCUCCUCCGCCAUAGUUGUGAGGCUUAGACACCAAAAUAGGAGCCCGUUGUUCCUCAGGCAAAAGCAAAACUGUGGAGGCCAAUUGAUGGAUGGUACCUGUUGAAUUGCUGGAUAGAGAAUUGGAAAAAUGGCUGCUAAAUUGUUGUAUUUGAAUUAGGACUUUCUAUUUCAAUUGCAUAUUUUUAUUUCAAACUUGGACUUCAUAUUUAAAUUGGGUCAUUGUAUUUCAAACUUUCAAUUGCAGGUAUUGUGAUUGACUUGUAUUUGAAUUUGGAUUUUAUGUAUUUUGGAUAUUUCAAUUUGCAGCUUCAA
Rosa rugosa (rugosa rose) is the source of this 714-nucleotide long non-coding RNA. RefSeq lists it as uncharacterized. The record is from RefSeq and is a predicted model, not a curated record. NCBI's taxonomy places the organism in Eukaryota, Viridiplantae, Streptophyta, Magnoliopsida, Rosales, Rosaceae. The transcript is spliced from 3 exons.